Molecule: transfer RNA, 73 nt
Filed under: Cordulegaster picta
Lineage: Eukaryota; Metazoa; Arthropoda; Insecta; Odonata; Cordulegastridae
Description: tRNA-Val
Rfam family: tRNA
About the family: Transfer RNA (tRNA) molecules are approximately 80 nucleotides in length.
Source: RNAcentral
AUCAAGUUAAAGCUUAAUAGAAAGCCUUUCAUUUACACUGAAAAAAUUACUGUGCAAUUCAGUGUAACUUGAU